UGCCAGCCGCCGCGGUAAUACGGAGGGUGCAAGCGUUAAUCGGAAUUACUGGGCGUAAAGCGUGCGUAGGCGGCUCGCUAAGUCGGAUGUGAAAGCCCCGGGCUUAACCUGGGACGUGCAUUCGAUACUGGCGAGCUUGAGUUUGGAAGAGGUUGGCGGAAUUCCCGGUGUAGCGGUGAAAUGCGUAGAGAUCGGGAGGAACAUCAGUGGCGAAGGCGGCUGACUGGUCCAAAACUGACGCUGAGGCACGAAAGCGUGGGGAGCAAACAGGAUUAGAUA
This 279-nucleotide ribosomal RNA is filed under the name uncultured bacterium. RNAcentral's name for it is "partial 16S ribosomal RNA". It matches the Rfam family "Bacterial small subunit ribosomal RNA", at positions 506 to 784 of the family's 1533-position model. The record is from RNAcentral.